This 581-nucleotide ribosomal RNA is filed under the name Tracylla aristata. Its description in RNAcentral is "eukaryotic LSU rRNA". The stretch from base 200 to 353 matches the Rfam family "5.8S ribosomal RNA". The record is from RNAcentral. Lineage: Eukaryota; Fungi; Ascomycota; Sordariomycetes; Tracyllales; Tracyllaceae.
AACAAGGUCUCCGUUGGUGAACCAGCGGAGGGAUCAUUAAUGAGCGUGUAAAAACACUCAACCAUAGCGAACUUACCAGUGGGAUGUAUCGUUGCUUCGGUGGGCGGCCCCAGGGGGGGCCCGCGGCCUCACGGUGCCCGCCGGAGCUACAAAACUCUUAGUUAUUUUGUAACCUCUGAGGAACAAGCAAAUAAGUUAAAACUUUCAGCAACGGAUCUCUUGGUUCUGGCAUCGAUGAAGAACGCAGCGAAAUGCGAUAAGUAAUGUGAAUUGCAGAAUUCAGUGAAUCAUCGAAUCUUUGAACGCACAUUGCGCCCGCCGGUAUUCCGGCGGGCAUGCCCGUUCGAGCGUCAUCUCUAACCUCAAGCUAGUCUUGGUGUUGGGGCCCCACGGCUUGCCGUGGGCCCUGAAAAUCAGUGGCGGGCUCGCCGUGAUCCCGAGCGCAGUAGUUAUAUCUCGCUGGGGCUGAUCGAGCGUGAUCCGGCCGUUAAAACCUGCCGUCAGGAGCUCGCUCCUGUACGCAACCCACCUUAGUUUGACCUCGGAUCGGGUAGGAAUACCCGCUGAACUUAAGCAUAUCA